Long non-coding RNA from Grus americana (Whooping crane), 2714 nucleotides. RefSeq lists it as uncharacterized. NCBI's taxonomy places the organism in Eukaryota, Metazoa, Chordata, Aves, Gruiformes, Gruidae. The record is from RefSeq and is a predicted model, not a curated record. The transcript has 2 exons.
GGGGGGGGGGGGGCGGCGAGGGGACGAGGAAGGCGAUCCGGUUUGCUGAAGGUCAAAGCCCAGGAGCUUGUUGCGAAGGGUGGACUCCUCAGAGCAGAUUUCUGGGGUGACCUAUUAGCUGUACAGUCUCAAGGAUCAAGAACAAGUGCGUAGAAGAUGCACCUCUGUCUGGUGCGUUGAGGGGAAACCACAGCAGAGGACUGAUUGCGUUGAGCAGGAGAGAGGAUUUCUACAAAGCGCCUUCCUACGAGGUGCCAUCUGGCAGGACUGUGUCAUUCAGCAGUGCCACUCAGCGCGUCGUGCACCUUAAAUAUACCAUUUCACUGAUAAAAAUAUAUUAGAGAGCUAUCAACUCCUUAGACAAAGCCAGAAGAACCAUGAACAUAAUGCCCAGGAAAAAAAAAAAAGUCAUAAAUUUUCUGAGUCCAUAAAGAAGCCUUUUUCUCCUCAAACUUUUUAUGCUGGUGGUCCUAAACACCAUUCUGCAUCAGCUCAAGCCAAAGCUGUUCCUCACUAGAGCUAUUUGUGCAGAGCCUGCUGUGGGGAGAAAAGUAUGUUAUCAAUCAUCUUCUGAUUUUACCAGGUCUGUAAACCUCAAGAGGAGGCUUUUAAGAGUACCAGCUUUCUGGAGGGUGUCGUUGCUCCUGAAGAGCAGAAAGAGUGGACUGUAUAGUCACUUUUUUUCCUGGAUCCCAUGCAUUAAUCCUGGCUUUUAAACAUUGAAGCCUCCUGGCUUCCCCACGUGCCCGUGUCCCCACGGAGCACAGUAUGAACCACUCCGGCUGUGGUAACGAUACAGUAGUUUUAUCACAUGCACUGUAAUAUUGUCCCUUGUAAAGCGUAACGCUCUUGAGUAGGCAUAGUAAACUGAAGACAAUCAAGAUCUUAAAGGGUAAUAUGUUUUUAUGUGUUUAGUAGCUUAUGGUGCUAUAUAACUCCAGAGCCCAAAUGCAGCAGCGGCCUCUCCAAAUCACGCUAUUAAUAUCGUAUAAUGAGCAGUGCUGCUACUCUUGAAUUCUGGCACACCAGAGGGUGAUUUCCAGCACUUCCAGUCCCCAGUAAAAAUGUUAUCCUCUCUACUGUGUCUGUGCUUGGCUUAUGCUGGGCAAUGCUGCUCGGGAUUGCAGUGGUGCCAUCGUGGUCGAAGGAGAGUUUUCCACACUAACGCUGGUAUAGCCAAAGCUUUUUGCUGCCUAGGGAUUACCUAAAUUGCAGUAGAAGAGAAGUUUUCAACUGCAGAAAAAUUUUUGUUUGCUCAUGGGACUUUUUCCUCUAAGAGCUGGCUCUUCUCUCCACCUCAGCCCUAAGUCAGGACACGAAGCAUCUCCAGCGUUGCACGGUGUGACCUGACACGUCCCCGCAGUGUGAGCGGCACUUCGGGCAUUGUACCCAAACCUCAGACAGAAUCAGUGUUUUUGACAACUUCUUUCCCUCUCUCCCAAUGAGAAAGAGCUUCUGGAAGUCAGCUUGUCCAUGUUGACGCAGGGGAUAAUCAAGACUUGAUCUAUAUUGCAGUGCAGCCAGCAGCCCUCUCCCCACAGAACGUAGAUGUGGAUGAUGCUCAUCUCAGCUCUGGCAUUCUGCAGCCUCUGGAUUUUUGUGAGGAUCCAGAGAGCAGAACAUGUCUCCAUCUUCCCAUCUGCUGAGAAUAGGUGGAAAUUAAAGUUAAAGGCCAAAGGCAAGGCAGUUUUUGCUUUCCUUUGUCUGUAGGAGUCACAGGAGCCUCGUGCCCAGAGCAGCCCCUUGGUGCUACACAAGCCUUAGGAGCUGAUCAUGGUUUUCUGUGCCCUGAAAUUUUUUCUAGGAUUUCAUGUGAAGAGAAGGACUCACCAAAAAAACCCCAAACAAACAAAAAACCCCAACAGCACCAACCAAGAAACACCCAAACCCAAACAACCCCCCAAAAAAACCCUGCUGGAGAAGGUUUCCAAGAUCACUAUUGGAGGGCAGGACCAAGCUCAGCUGGAGGACAGGACCAAGCUCAGCUUAAAUUACUCGUGCAGUUUUAUAGGACACUACCAUACUUAUGAAAAGUGGAGUUAAAAUGACUCUUUUUUGGAAGGAUGGCUGAGCAAGAAGCAGGAUUGUGACCGCAACGCAUCCCUUAUUUGCCCUCAGCAAGAGGUGGGUGAACGGCAGUAGAAAACGGCAGUAGCAGCGUUUGUACAAUGCAUUGCCACUUCAGAAAAUUUGGGUUCUGUAAUAAACUGUCACAUAUGCAAGGCUAACACAAAUUAAGUCUGUGAUACACCAGAUGUCAUCACGUUUUCAAAUGGGGAGCAUCUUGCUCAGAAAAUCUCUUUCAUUUUGGGUUUCCAAUGCCUUAAAACAGCUCUCCUACAGCAAACACGUCCCAGCACCUGGGCGACGGGCACAGGACAGAAUGGAAUAGUAAAGAACAGCUCUUUCCCCACCAUUAGUGGUAUUUUGCUCCUUCCCACAGUAAUUGCAAUUCAGAUAAUAUUAAUGUUCCCAUUCUUAUGUUAAAAUUAAUAGUAGACUGCUGGUAUUUCAGCUCGACAUUAAUUGUAUAAUAUUCAUACGACAAAUGCUGUUAGUUUUAGAAAUCUUCCAGAUAAACUUAUAUAAAUUUGUCACCACAAACCCAUGAAAAAAAUCUUUCAUGCAUAUUGAUUAGGGCUUUUCUAUAGUAACGCCAGAAUCCUGAAUAGUCCAACGGUAGCUGCCUGCUUCUAAAUAAAAAGGAGAAUAUU